Molecule: ribosomal RNA, 436 nt
Filed under: Eurhynchiastrum pulchellum
Lineage: Eukaryota; Viridiplantae; Streptophyta; Bryopsida; Hypnales; Brachytheciaceae
Description: eukaryotic LSU rRNA
Rfam family: 5.8S ribosomal RNA (bases 1-125)
Source: RNAcentral
UGCAUCGAUGAAGAACGUAGCGAAAUGCGAUACGUAGUGUGAAUUGCAGAAUUCCGCGAAUCAUCGAGUCUUUGAACGCAAGUUGCGCCCGAGGCUUGUCCGAGGGCAUUUCCGCUAGAGCGUCACCGCGCCCCCCACCGAUCCACUCUCGCCGCGAGGCGACAGUCGGGUCGAGUGCAAGUGGCCGUCCCGGUUUACGGAGUGGUCUUCGCGAGAAGGCCAUACUGUUGAGGGUCGGCUGAAAUGGAUGGAAUUGGGCCGCCGUGGUGACACAGUCCGCGAUCGGGUGAUUUUGUCGCGAGCCUCCUCCGGGAGGCUCUUGGUGAAUUUUUCUAAGUGUGCGAGGCUGCGUCCCCCAGUUGGCUUUGGUUACCUCAUGCAGGUCGAGCGCGCCCCCCGCGGCGCGCGUCACGCAUCAGACCUCUAAUCGGAAAAG